CCCUUAGAUGUCCUGGGCUGCACGCGCGCUACACUGAUGUGUCCAGUAAGCACCUAACCUCUUCCGAAAGGAACGGGUAACCUUUGCAAAGCACAUCGUGUUGGGGAUAGAUUAUUGCAAUUAUUAGUCUUGAACGAGGAAUUCCUAGUAAGCACAAGUCAUCAGCUUGUGUUGAUUACGUCCCUGCCCUUUGUACACACCGCCCGUCGCUCCUACCGAUUGAAUGUUCCGGUGAGCUCUUCGGACUGCGCGGUCUGCAGUUUCUGCGUUCCGUGCGGAAAGUUGCGCAAACCUUAACAUUUAGAGGAAGGAGAAGUCGUAACA
This 324-nucleotide ribosomal RNA is filed under the name uncultured eukaryote. RNAcentral's name for it is "partial 18S ribosomal RNA". It matches the Rfam family "Eukaryotic small subunit ribosomal RNA", at positions 1470 to 1796 of the family's 1831-position model. The record is from RNAcentral.